Molecule: ribosomal RNA, 508 nt
Filed under: uncultured bacterium
Lineage: Bacteria
Description: bacterial SSU rRNA
Rfam family: Bacterial small subunit ribosomal RNA
Source: RNAcentral
GACGAACGCUGGCGGCGCGCUUAACACAUGCAAGUCGAGCGAGAACCUGGCUUCGGCCAGGGGAAAGCGGCGAACGGGUGAGUAACACGUGGGCAACCCACCCUUGGUAUCCGGAUAGCCCGGGGAAACCCGGAUUAAUACGGAAUGGCCCAGCAGCUCUUCGGGGCGGCUGGAAAAGGUAGCUUCGGCCUCCGACCAAGGACGGGCCCGCGGCGGAUUAGCUUGUUGGUGGGGUAACGGCUCACCAAGGCGACGAUCCGUAGCUGGUCUGAGAGGACGAUCAGCCACACUGGGACUGAGACACGGCCCAGACUCCUACGGGAGGCAGCAGUGGGGAAUCUUGCGCAAUGGGCGAAAGCCUGACGCAGCGACGCCGCGUGGGGGAAGAAGGCUUUCGGGUUGUAAACCCCUUUCAGGAGGGACGAAGCCACUCGGGUGAAUAGCCCAGAGGGUGACGGUACCUCCAGAAGAAGCCCCGGCUAACUACGUGCCAGCCGCCGCCGUAAAA